Molecule: long non-coding RNA, 1076 nt
Organism: Hermetia illucens (black soldier fly)
Lineage: Eukaryota; Metazoa; Arthropoda; Insecta; Diptera; Stratiomyidae
Exons: 3
Source: RefSeq, a predicted model, not a curated record
UCCGAUAGUAUUUUUGGAAGCACUUCAAGCCACUGAAGUUUUGAUAAGAUCCGGGUAGAAUAUGGAGUUUUGAGUUAGUGGAAAGCAUUGAUUUACGUAAUGUGUUGCCGAUUAAGUCAAAUGUAGCUGAAACGCUUGAUUCGCUCAAUCCGUAUCAUGACGUAAGGGGACAACUGCUCUGUGAUAAAGCGAUCAAGACGCUUCAAUCUAAUAUGAUUAGCAGGGCAGUAUUGGACGAAUGGAAUCUUGGACUUAAGAUGGAGCGUAUAUUCAGUGACAGUCUAGAUAAGACACUGCAAACAACUUUUCAAAUUACGCUUUUGGUGGCUUUUCAGUUAAUCUGACAGUGCCGACGCGGGGUUUUAGUUAGACAAUCUCAGAAAGUUUGGAGGGACACCACACUAACUACACAGUGAAUGUGUAUUGGGUAAAAUUCAUCCAAUGAUUUUCUGGAUUUCCGCGUCAUAAGAAAUUAAUUCGACUAGUACACAAAGUAUCUCCACUAUUGUCUUUUGGUAUUAUAUUAUAACUUUUUCGUUUAUCUCAACUUUAAAGUUUCAAAAAGUUAUAUUCUAUUGGUGGCCAUGAAAACAUUUCGAUUUGUAGUUUUAUAUUGGACUCCCUUUUUUUGCUUUGAAAUAAUAUUUAAAAAAUGUAAUGCUCUUUGAACGCUCCACAAACUUCCCUUUAUAGAAUGGAUUUUGUCACAAGCGCAAUUUCUCUGGGGUCUCCAUUAAAUAUUUUUUUUUUAUAGAAAUAAUGGUGUCUACUUCACUUUAAAUUGUUAAUGGGGCGGAGCAAGCCGAACUCAUACUCAUCUAACACUACAUAUUAACCCUUACUUUGGAUUUCGUGACGAAGUCGCUCUUCUAUCUACUUGAGCAUUCUAGGUAUAAGCAUCCUCAUCGAUUGCAAUAUGUUAAAAAUUAGCUUAAGAAAUGUAAAGAUGUGCACUAUAAUCUGAGGACUUAUCCAUAUUUAGGCAUCUACAAUAAAAUCCUCUUUGUGAUUUUUCUGGAACAGUGAAUCUAAAAGUAACAAAACUGAAAAACAAAAUAAAACUUUAUUAACCAAAA